Molecule: ribosomal RNA, 497 nt
Filed under: uncultured bacterium
Lineage: Bacteria
Description: partial 16S ribosomal RNA
Rfam family: Bacterial small subunit ribosomal RNA
Source: RNAcentral
GAUGAACGCUGGCGGCGUGCCUAAUACAUGCAAGUCGAGCGAAAAGACGAUGAGCUUGUUCUUCUGACGUUGGCGGCGGACGGGCGAGUAACACGUGGAUCACCUUCCUCUUUGACGGGGAUAACUACGGGAAACCGGAGAUAAUACCAGAGCAUAUAUUGAACCGCAUGGUGCAAUGGUGAAUGACGGCUUUGCGGUCUGUAUUAGCCGGUUCCGGGCUGGAUUAGUUAGUUGGUAAGGUAACGGCUUACCAAGGCAACGAUGCGUAGCCGACCUGAGAGGGUGAUCGGCCACACUGGAACUGAGACACGGUCCAGACUCCUACGGGAGGCAGCAGUAGGGAAUCUUGCGCAAUGGGCGAAAGCUUGACGCAGCGACGCCGCGUGAGUGAAGAAGGCCUUCGGGUCGUAAAACCCUGUUAUUGGGUAAGAACAACUGUGGAUUUAACCAUGCCCGUCUUGACGGUACCGAAUCAAUAAGCCCCGGCUAACUACGUG